GUCCACGCCCUAAACGAUGUCUACUAGUUGUCGGACUUUAAUUAGUUUGGUAACGCAGCUAACGCGCGAAGUAGACCGCCUGGGGAGUACGGUCGCAAGAUUAAACUCAAAGGAAUUGACGGGACCGCACAAGCGGUGGAUGAUGUGGAUUAAUUCGAUGCAACGCGAAAACCUUACCUACCCUUGACAUGGUCGGAAUCCUUGGGAAACCAGGGAGUGCCCGAAAGGGAACCGGCACACAGGUGCUGCAUGGCUGUCGU
This 260-nucleotide ribosomal RNA is filed under the name uncultured bacterium. Its description in RNAcentral is "partial 16S ribosomal RNA". It matches the Rfam family "Bacterial small subunit ribosomal RNA", at positions 793 to 1055 of the family's 1533-position model. The record is from RNAcentral.